Molecule: ribosomal RNA, 119 nt
Filed under: Diaphorina citri (Asian citrus psyllid)
Lineage: Eukaryota; Metazoa; Arthropoda; Insecta; Hemiptera; Psyllidae
Source: RNAcentral
GGCAGCGGAGAUAGCACGAUGAAUACAGUAGUUCCCAAUGAAUCACUCAAGUUAAGCAACUCUGAGCGUGGUUAGUAUCUGGAUAGGUGACCGUCUGGGCAAUCGCGUGUUGGCUUUUC